RNAcentral lists this ribosomal RNA (460 nucleotides) under uncultured bacterium. Its description in RNAcentral is "partial 16S ribosomal RNA". It matches the Rfam family "Bacterial small subunit ribosomal RNA", at positions 338 to 795 of the family's 1533-position model. The record is from RNAcentral.
CCUACGGGGAGCAGCAGUGAGGAAUAUUGGUCAAUGGGCGAGAGCCUGAACCAGCCAAGUCGCGUGAAGGAUGACGGCCCUACGGGUUGUAAACUUCUUUUGUCAGGGAGCAAUUGGGUCCACGCGUUGGCUUAGCGAGAGUACCUGAAGAAAAAGCAUCGGCUAACUCCGUGCCAGCAGCCGCGGUAAUACGGAGGAGGCGAGCGUUAUCCGGAUUUAUUGGGUGAAAAGGGUGCGUAGUCGGAAUAUCAAGUUAGAGGUAAAAAUUCGGGGGUAAACCCGGACGUGCCGUUGAAACUGAGGUUCUUGAGUGGGCGAGAAGUAUGCGGAAUGCGUGGUGUAGCGGUGAAAUGCAUAGAGAUCACGAAGAACUCCGAUUGCGAAGGCAGCAUACCGGCGCCCAACUGACGCUGAAGCACGAAAGCGUGGGUAUCGAACAGGAUUAGAUACCCUUGUAGUC